RNAcentral lists this small RNA (176 nucleotides) under Mus musculus (house mouse). Lineage: Eukaryota; Metazoa; Chordata; Mammalia; Rodentia; Muridae. The record is from RNAcentral.
CUAUGAUAAAGCUGUGGCUUCCUUUAAGCAUGCUCUAAAGAACGGUGACAUUUGUGAAACUCCAGAUAAGCCAAAAGGCACAGCCAGAAGAAAACCUGCCAAGAAGAAUAAAAGCCAAAAGAAGAAUGCCACAACUCCCUUGAAACAGAGUGAUGAUUCUGACAUUUGGGAUGAUA